RNAcentral lists this long non-coding RNA (199 nucleotides) under Panax ginseng (ginseng). RNAcentral describes it as "long non-coding RNA (PGIN_LNC000665)". The record is from RNAcentral. Lineage: Eukaryota; Viridiplantae; Streptophyta; Magnoliopsida; Apiales; Araliaceae.
UUAUAUUUGUCGUUUUCUUCAUCCAAUCGCUUUCCGUUAUGGGGCCCACACAAGGUUGCGUCGUCGUACGAAUAUUCCCCGACAGUAAGAAUAUUCCACGACCAAACGAAUAUUCUCCGAUAAAAAUAAAUAUUUUAUAACCACUUGCUUAUUUAAAAUAUUUGCGCAUUUUACCCAUAACUAACCACAUUAAUCAAAU